RNAcentral lists this long non-coding RNA (443 nucleotides) under Nicotiana benthamiana. RNAcentral describes it as "long non-coding RNA (NBEN_LNC023350)". The record is from RNAcentral. Lineage: Eukaryota; Viridiplantae; Streptophyta; Magnoliopsida; Solanales; Solanaceae.
AAAAUAAUAAAGAAAGUUUGUUAUAAAGAUGAAGAGUAUGAAUGUUCCUAGCCAUGUCUUUCAUUUCUAGUAAAGAUAGUACUGAAUUGCGUCCUAUUAUUCAUAGUGGCGCAUUCAACCCGCAGAUGUAACAGUUGUUGCAUAAAAAUAUUAGCCAGGGCCGUGCAGCUAAUGGUAGUUAAGUGGUUACUGUUCUGCACAAAAGUGCAUAGGACCCUCUGACCCCAUACAGACUGUUGCUGGACGUAACAUGCACUUGGAAGGGAAGGAAGAUCAAAGUAUAGUUUUUAUUCCUCAUAUGGCAACAUAUAAUUAGUAUUAGCAGUGACAAGCUAGAAAUUACCAAGGAUGUUCAAAUUUAAAAGAAGUGAAAAAAAAUUCCGACAAAGGGAGUUCAAUAUGUGUUAUAUGCCUCUAAAGUGUAAUAUUUUACCUAUGUAUAC